This is a non-coding RNA of Microcebus murinus (gray mouse lemur), 617 nucleotides long. The record is from RefSeq and is a predicted model, not a curated record. NCBI's taxonomy places the organism in Eukaryota, Metazoa, Chordata, Mammalia, Primates, Cheirogaleidae.
CUGAGGCCCAAGUCAGAUGGUUUCUCUGAGGUCACACAAGUAAAAGACAAGCUGGAAUUCAAACUCAGACCUGUCUGGCCCAAAGCCUGUGUUUUUAACAGGAUUGAAGCGCUCAGAAAGAGGCCUGGUUUUGCAAUGUAAAGACUCAACGUGGCUUUCUGACUUGGGCCGGGCAGAAUGGCUCCCGCAAAGAAGGGAGGCGAGAAGAAGGGCCAUUCUGCUAUCAUCGAAGUGGUGACUCAAGAAUACACCAUCAACAUUCACAAGCGCAUCCAUGGAGUGGGCUUCAAGAAGCAUGCCCCUCGGGCACUCAAAGAGAUCCGGAAAUUUGCCAUGAGGAGAUGGGAACUCCAGAUGUGCGCAUCGAUACCAGGCUCAACAAAGCUGUCUGGGCCAAAGGAAUAAGGAAUGUCCCAUACAGGAUUCCUGUGCGGUUGUCCAGGAAACGUAAUGAGGAUGAAGAUUCACCAAACAAGCUCUAUACUUUGGUUACCUAUGUACCUGUUACCACUUUCAAAAAUCUACAGACAGUCGGCCAGGCGCGGUGGCUCACGCCUGUAAUCCUAGCUCUCUGGGAGGGCGCCUGGCCGUCCCUCCUGGACCGCAGUGCCCGCUGA